This 240-nucleotide ribosomal RNA is filed under the name uncultured bacterium. Its description in RNAcentral is "partial 16S ribosomal RNA". It matches the Rfam family "Bacterial small subunit ribosomal RNA", at positions 524 to 762 of the family's 1533-position model. The record is from RNAcentral.
UACGUAGGGGCCGAGCGUUGUCCGGAGUUAUUGGGCGUAAAGCGCGCGCAGGCGGCCUCGCGCGCCCGACGUGAAAGCCCCCGGCUUAACCGGGGAGGGUCGUUGGGGACGGCGGGGCUUGAGGGCGGGAGAGGGUGGUGGAAUUCCCGGUGUAGUGGUGAAAUGCGUAGAGAUCGGGAGGAACACCCGUGGCGAAGGCGGCCGACCUGGGCCGACCCUGACGCUGAGGCGCGAAGGCGU